Long non-coding RNA from Saimiri boliviensis boliviensis (Bolivian squirrel monkey), 817 nucleotides. RefSeq lists it as uncharacterized. The record is from RefSeq and is a predicted model, not a curated record. Lineage: Eukaryota; Metazoa; Chordata; Mammalia; Primates; Cebidae.
CUAGUUCCCAACCUGAAAUCAGUUUACUCUGUAGUGAAAAACAACAUUCAAGUCACAAGGUCAGUUCCUGACUCUACCUUACGCAGGAGGACAUAUGCUCCCACGGGAGGCUUGGGGUCUGGAGAAGUCUGCACCGUGGCUGGGAACAUUUAUGCCUCAACCUGUCUUGAAGCUGCCUUCAUGGUCUUUUUCAAAGAGGUGGAGAACAGGGCACUGACAAGAAGAAUCUGUGGAGUGAUGUUCCUGAGAUCACCCAGGACAGGCUCCCAGUCCCGCAAGCAUUGUCCCUGGGGUUGGCCUCUGCACCUGACAUUUUUAGGGCCCGAGGCCCUCACUUCUGGGCCAAGCCAAGAGAAGAAAGAGCAAUUCAAAAAUUCAUCGUGGAGACUGCAGUAGAAAUGAAGAACUGGCUCCACCCCCACAGGAUGUUACCCCAGCUGCUUUCCAUUCACAAUCUGGUUCUGAGCAGACCAAGGAAAACACAGGACGAGGCUGUGCUCCGGCUCAAUUAUACAUUCAAAUUGCCUGUAUUUAAAAACCCCUAAAAACUGUAAUGGCUUAAUUAAGCUGGUAGCUUUAUGGCAUGCUUCUCCUCACAGCCUAAUUCAAAGCCCUUUCUCUUUCACUGAGAAGUCAAUGUGACAAUUCUGUCUUGCUGGGAUGGCUGCCGCAAGGAGGAGGGGCUACAGGAUGGGAAAAUGAAGAAAGUGGAUCUUGGUGGAAGUUAAAUUUCUCUUGUGGCAGAUGGUCUACAAAUCUCCAGUCCUUCAGAGUACAUAAAACGGGUCCCUGGGGAAAGAGUAGGCAUUCAUCUAGG